AUGUACCUGCGAUGUACGUAAGCCCCUGAAUGUUUCUAACCUACAUGAAACAUUAGGGAUUCAAGACCAGCCGCAGCUGUCAAGCCAACUUUUGCUUGGAAGGCAAAAGCGACUGUGAGAUGCCCACCUGCGAGUAGCAGGUUUAGAAACCACGGCGCGACGGCAUAGGCGGGUACAUU
RNAcentral lists this non-coding RNA (179 nucleotides) under Heliobacterium chlorum. Its description in RNAcentral is "6S RNA". It matches the Rfam family "6S / SsrS RNA". Rfam says of the family: E. coli 6S RNA was the first non coding RNA to be sequenced, but its function was unknown until recently. It consists of 184 nucleotides that fold into an extended hairpin structure with a large single-stranded internal bulge. The record is from RNAcentral. Lineage: Bacteria; Bacillati; Bacillota; Clostridia; Eubacteriales; Heliobacteriaceae.